GGUUGCGGUAGUUUAUAAUAGGCUCCCAAUACAACUCGAAAUCGAGUAGACUGUGAUGAGCGGUCUCUAGGGUUCGAAUCCCUAACUCUCCGCCA
This 95-nucleotide transfer RNA is filed under the name Desulforamulus reducens MI-1. Its description in RNAcentral is "tRNA-Ser (CGA) (tRNA-Ser-CGA-2-1)". Lineage: Bacteria; Bacillati; Bacillota; Clostridia; Eubacteriales; Peptococcaceae. The record is from RNAcentral.